Long non-coding RNA from Salvelinus fontinalis (brook trout), 2331 nucleotides. RefSeq lists it as uncharacterized. The record is from RefSeq and is a predicted model, not a curated record. The transcript is spliced from 2 exons. NCBI's taxonomy places the organism in Eukaryota, Metazoa, Chordata, Actinopteri, Salmoniformes, Salmonidae.
GGAGUGAAUAGUACAGUAUUUUAAUCUUUUAUUUCAUAUUGCAUGUGCUUUAUAUAUUUAUUCUAUAUUUAAAAUUGUGUGUGCUGUUUUCUAUGGGCUUGAUUAUUUCUAUUGUACUGCAUGAUCAUGUGUGAUGACUAUUUAAUUGCAUGGAGUUUUGUUCGACAUUGAAUCAAACUUUCCUGAUGACACCUCCCACUGCAUUAACUACCUGCAAAGCCAUUUGCUAACGCCAUUCCUACAGCCCUAUAAAAAGAGACUAUCAGACGUACCCGAGGGCUCUCGGAUUUGGGGGUGGAAACCCUGUCGAAAAGCCUCCUUCCUGGCGGGCAGCCACCUCCUGCAGCAGCACGUCCUCAUCUCUCGUCAUCCCAGCAGGUCCAGACAACCAAUAGGUCCAGACAACCAAUGACUCCAGAAGUCCGACUCUUCACUGAAGGAUGGAUCCUUCGAAGAGCACCUGAACAUUCAAAACACUCAGCCCAUGUAUCCCAAUUUUUUUUAAAGUGAUUUAGUGAACAGAAUUCCAAGAAAUGUCAUUCACUGGAGGUUUCCUCUGCUUAUUUGAUUUCAGUAUUUCCUCCACCAUGAGGGCUCGAGGAAGUUUGUGGCUUGAGUAAAACCCGGACUGGUCUGCGCCAUCUGAACUAUUCUCUAUCCACUCUCAACGAACUGGACUGCGAGAUUCUACCCACUCCCACACUCUGGCCGAUACAGUCGCAAACCCCGGGACAGGGCACAACAGACUAGAUUGAGUUGUACCCACUCCCACUCUCCGGCUGAUACAGUCACAAACCCCGGGACAGGGCACAACAGACUAGAUUGAGUUGUACCCACUCCCACUCUCCGGCUGAUUCGGUCGCAAAUACCGGAUGAAGUACUCUGGAUUGGGCUACUUGCACAGCACUUGAGUACUCAUGAAGCAGAUAGCAGAUAAGGUAGAGGAGAAACAAACCCUAGUUAGACGCUCUGCAAAACAAACUAGAGUUGAGAGGCCACUAAGGAAUAAAUACUGGUCUUUAACAUGGCUAAUCAGAACGACACCAAAAACAAAGGGGGGAGAAGAGUCACGGAAUGAACAGUAUUUUCAUAUUUAUUGUAUAUUGCAUGUGCUUUCUAUGGGCUUGAUUAUUUCUAUUGUAUUACAUGAUUGCGUGUGAUGACUAUUUGUUUGCAUGAACUUUCUUUGGACAUUGAACCAUUUCCUGAUGACACCUCCCACUGCCUUAACUACCUGCAAAGCCAUUUGCUAACAGUAUUCCUACAGCCCUAUAAAAAGAGACUAUCAGACGCACCCGAGGGCUCUUAGAUUUGGGGGUAGAAACCCUGUCGACCGCCUCCUUCCUGGCGGGCAGCCACCUCCUGCAGCAGCGCGUCAUCGUCUACAGUCAGUCCAAAGGGCCAGACAACCAACGACUUUAGAAGUCUGACUCUUCUGAUUGUGAUGGGCUUGUCUUCUUUCAAGAAAAAGAAAAGUAAAAAUAAUCACACAAGUUGGUGUGAAUGUGAUCCAACGAUUGGUUAAGAUGGUGGUACUGAGGACCCCUGUCUGUAUCCCUGACCUAUACAGAUUGUUCCCUAGACUGGGUGGCGUACUUGUUGGUGAUUUGGAAGGUGAUACCGGAGACCGAGAGGUGAUUGAGGCGAGACGUAGGUGAGGCAUCUCUGAAGGACGGAUCCUUCGAACAGCACCUGAACAGUAUCUGCAUGCCAUGCGGGCUCGGGGAAGCUGGUGACUGGAGAACAAAACAGGACUGGAGUCUGCCACCUGAAAUAUUCUCUAGCCGUUCCCAAAUGACUGGACUGAGUUUUUAGUUCCCACACCCCGUCAGAUUCGGUCGCAAACCUUGGAACAGUGCAUAACGGACUAGACUGAGUUCUAUGUUAAAAGAGAUUUUAUUAUUAUCAUUUGUAUUUCAAAUAAAUAUUGUAAUUUUCUACUUUCCUCUGACCCUCUGGUGUCUGUGUUGGUGUAGCCCAGGAUCCUAGAACCUCUAAUUCAUGGCUCUCCAACCCUGUUCCUGGAGGGCUACUGUCCUGUAGGUUUUCACUCCAACCCUAAUCUAGCGUACCUGAUUCUAAUAAUUAGCUGGUUGAUCAGCUGAAUCAGGUUAGUUACAUCUGGGGUUGGAGCGAAAACCUACAGGAGGUUUAGGUGUACCCCUAUCCUGAAGUCAAAUGACCUAGUGGCCUCCUGGGUGGAAUGUUAUUAAUAUUUUUCAUUAUUUUUAUUUAUUUUUUAAUGCAGAAUAUCCAGUGUUUCUAUGUCAAACGGUUUUAUUAUAUUUCAGUCUUCUGUGAUGUAGUGUAUAUAAAUACCUUUCAACUAUC